GAUGAAGAACGCAGCGAAAUGCGAUAAGUAAUGUGAAUUGCAGAAUUCAGUGAAUCAUCGAAUCUUUGAACGCACAUUGCGCCCGCUAGUAUUCUGGCGGGCAUGCCUGUCCGAGCGUCAUUCAACCCUCAAGCCCCCGGGCUUGGUGUUGGGGAUCGGCGAGCCUCCGCGCCCGCCGUCCCCUAAAUCUAGUGGCGGUCUCGCUGUAGCUUCCUCUGCGUAGUAGCACACCUCGCACUGGGAAACAGCGCGGCCACGCCGUUAAACCCCCAACUUCUGAACGUUUGACCUCGGAUCAGGUAGGAAUACCCGCUGAACUUAAGCAUAUCAAUAAGCGGAGGA
This 342-nucleotide unclassified non-coding RNA is filed under the name soil metagenome. RNAcentral's name for it is "partial contains 5.8S ribosomal RNA, internal transcribed spacer 2, and large subunit ribosomal RNA". The stretch from base 1 to 120 matches the Rfam family "5.8S ribosomal RNA", at positions 35 to 154 of the family's 154-position model. The record is from RNAcentral.